GCAAGUCGAGGGGUAACAGGGAUUGCUUGCAAUCCGCUGACGACCGGCGAACGGGUGCGUAACGCGUAUGCAACCUACCUUUUACUGGGGGAUAGUCAAGAGAAAUUUUGAAUAAUACCCCAUACGAUCAUUUAUUUGCAUAAAUAAAUGAAGAAAACUCCGGUGGUAGAAGAUGGGCAUGCGUCCUAUUAGUUUGUUGGUGAGGUAACGGCUCACCAAGACUACGAUAGGUAGGGGUCCUGAGAGGGAGACCCCCACACUGGUACUGAGACACGGACCAGACUCCUACGGGAGGCAGCAGUGAGGAAUAUUGGACAAUGGAGGCAACUCUGAUCCAGCCAUGCCGCGUGCAGGAAGACGGCCCUAUGGGUUGUAAACUGCUUUUAUACAGGAAGAAACGUCAGUACGUGUACUGACCUGACGGUACUGUAAGAAUAAGGAUCGGCUAACUCCGUGCCAGCAGCCGCGGUAAUACGGAGGAUCCAAGCGUUAUCCGGAAUUAUUGGGUUUAAAGGGUCCGCAGGCGGUCUGAUAAGUCAGAGGUGAAAUACUAUCGCUCAACGAUAGAACUGCCUUUGAUACUGUUAGACUUGAGUUAUUGUGAAGUAGUUAGAAUGUGUAGUGUAGCGGUGAAAUGCAUAGAUAUUACACAGAAUACCGAUUGCGAAGGCAGAUUACUAACAAUACACUGACGCUCAUGGACGAAAGCGUGGGUAGCGAACAGGAUUAGAUACUCUGGUAGUCCACGCCGUAAACGAUGGUCACUAGCUGUUUGACUAAC
Molecule: ribosomal RNA, 781 nt
Filed under: uncultured bacterium
Lineage: Bacteria
Description: bacterial SSU rRNA
Rfam family: Bacterial small subunit ribosomal RNA
Source: RNAcentral